GAGGAAUAUUGGGCAAUGCCCGCAAGGGUGACCCAGCAACGCCGCGUGGAGGAUGAAUGUCGUAAGAUUGUAAACUCCUGUUAGAGGGGAAGAAUAGUACCGGUUGGACCGGUAUAUGACUGUACCCUCAGAGAAAGCCCCGGCUAACUACGUGCCAGCAGCCGCGGUCAUACGUAGGGGGCAAGCGUUGUCCGGAUUUACUGGGUGUAAAGGGCGCGCAGGCGGGAUAAAAGGUCAGUGGUGAAAUCCUACAGCUUAACUGUAGAACUGCCUUUGAUACUUUUAUGCUUGAGUUCGGGAGAGAGAGACGGAAUUCCAGGUGUAGUGGUGAAAGACGUAGAUAUCUGGAAGAACACCAGUUGCGAAGGCGGUCUCUUGGUCCGACACUGACGCUGAGGCGCGAAAGCGUGGGGAGCAAACA
Molecule: ribosomal RNA, 421 nt
Filed under: uncultured bacterium
Lineage: Bacteria
Description: bacterial SSU rRNA
Rfam family: Bacterial small subunit ribosomal RNA
Source: RNAcentral